UUAGAAAAUGUUCCUAGGGAAGCAGAACUGGCAAAGCACAGCAGGAACUGAAGGACUCUUGCCCAGCCUGUGUUGGUAAUGCCCACAUGCAAACCUGAACCUGCAGGCUGGAGGAUUUGCAGAAGUUUGGGCAAGCCAAAGGACAACACCAAGAUGCUCUCGGCAUGCAGGAGGGGAUGAUGAUCUUGUGCGGAGUCAUGUGCGGGUGACAGACCCAGGAACUGGCGUGACUCCUGACAUGUCCCAAGCACGUGGUCUUCUUGCUCCCUCCUCACAUGCACGUCCUGUGACCAGUAACAAGCAUACCUAUUUUCAUUUUUUGACAUCUGCCAAAUAUUUCUCUCAAACACCAGUCCGGUGAAGCAACCCAUCAUGUGCCCAAAAUACAUGACCUGGGGGCUUCUUUUGGGCUCUUACACUGAUUCAGCACUAGCCGCUGCUGAGUAAGUCCCUUAGCAUCUCUGGCCGUCACCAUCUGCAUUCGUCAAACGGAUGCAAGGAUGCAUUUUUUAGCUCCCAUGCAAGGCUGCAGAGAGGACAAAUUCAUUAGUAUUCAUAGGAGCCCUCUGAUUAUCUGCAGGCUAAAUAGUUAUGAGGCAAAACAAAGGUAGUGAUCACAAAUAAUAAGGCAAAGAGUAAAUAGCAGAAGACACGUAUAGCUAAAAAGUAUGGGUCUGUGUUAGUAAACAGGGAAGUCUGAAUGGUCAAUGGCUGUCUCAUUUCCAGGAGGAUGGUGCCCAGGACUAUAAAAGGUCUCCAGGCCCAGCUCACUUCAUUCGUUCAUCUUCUCUUCCCUUCAUUUCUCCUCACCGUUCAACAGGCUUUGCCUACACUACCAACAACAUGCCCAACGGAGGUUGCGGUGGAUGCUGCGGUGGAAAUAACUACACCGUCUGCUGCUACAGCAGCCCGAAGUGCUGCAAGACGCCGUGCUGCUACCCCUCGCAGUGCUGCUGCCCCAUGACCUGCUGCAUGCCCAUGCAGACCUGCUGCUACACCAUGAACAACGGAGGCUGCUGCGGUGGCAGUGGUGGUGGCUGCUGUGGCAACUAAAUCCCUGGGCAUGAGGCAGGCAUGGCUGUGCUCACCUCCUGUGCUGCAGAAAUGCCUGCUGCUUCCCACCUGGCUCGCUCUGCCUUGGAAAUAGAUAUGGAUAUGGAUAUGGCCCUAAAUGCUCUUCCUCCUCUGCUAGACUGCAGAUCUCUCCUUUUCUUUACUUGCCUUUAAUCACCAAAUGCCUGUAAUGUGCUUUGAAGUUUCUACACGCUGAUCAGUGUGAUUUUCCUUUGUAAGCGUUAGUCCUGCUGUUAGUUUUUCCUCUUGGUGUGUAGUAUCCUUAAUGUUGUUGAUAUAUCAUGUUCUUCUUUCUUGCUUUAAUCUCCAAUUACUCAUGAAAGACAAUAAAAGCUGUGGCUUAUGACA
This 1422-nucleotide long non-coding RNA is filed under the name Anser cygnoides (Swan goose). Its description in RNAcentral is "lncRNA (ENSACDG00005006848.1)". The record is from RNAcentral. Lineage: Eukaryota; Metazoa; Chordata; Aves; Anseriformes; Anatidae.